UAGCAGAGUAUUUCAAAGCCUUUCGAACACUGACGGUAUUUUGUCAUAGAACUAAAAAAAAGAAUGAAGGUUUCUAUUUGUUAUUUCGUCUGUCUAUUGUUAGUGUCCGUAGGAGUCAACAUGGCGGAUGAAAAAAUGCUUGAAGACAAUAGCCUCAUUCAUAAGCUUGUAAAAAGAUACGGGUGUCAUAAAAUACAAUGCUCUCCUGGCUCUCCGUGCUGUAGCUGUCCUCAUGGUCUUUGCUGCGUUAACACAACCUGCAUAAGGGGCUAGUGAGGUCAGCUAUCCCAUUUUUGACCAAUCAUAGCAAUCCAACAGAACCGAAGAAUUAUCAUCCUUUAAAAAUAGGAUUUGAAAAAAUGAAUAUUCGAAAAAAUUAAAUUAAAAUCUAUAUAUUCAUUUUAA
Long non-coding RNA from Mytilus californianus (California mussel), 405 nucleotides. RefSeq lists it as uncharacterized. The record is from RefSeq and is a predicted model, not a curated record. The transcript is spliced from 4 exons. Lineage: Eukaryota; Metazoa; Mollusca; Bivalvia; Mytilida; Mytilidae.